RNAcentral lists this ribosomal RNA (481 nucleotides) under uncultured bacterium. RNAcentral's name for it is "partial 16S ribosomal RNA". It matches the Rfam family "Bacterial small subunit ribosomal RNA", at positions 28 to 507 of the family's 1533-position model. The record is from RNAcentral.
GAUGAACGCUGGCGGCGUGCUUAACACAUGCAAGUCGAACGAAGCCCUCUAUUUUAUUUCCUUCGGGACUGGUUAUUUUGUGACUGAGUGGCUGACGGUUGAGUAACGCGUGGGUAACCUGCCUUAUACAGGGGGAUAACCGUUGGACACAGCUGCUAAUACCGCAUAAUCGCCCAGCAUCGCAUGAUGCAGUGUGAAAAAAUACGGUGGUAUAAGAUGGACCCGCGUUGGAUUAGCUAGUUGGUGAGGUAACGGCCCACUAAGGCGACGAUCCAUAGCCGACCUGAGAGGGUGACCGGCCACACUGGGACUGAGACACGGCCCAAACUCCUACGGGAGGCAGCAGUGGGGAAUAUUGCACAAUGGGCGAAAGCCUGAUGCAGCGACGCCGCGUGAGCGAUGAAGUAUUUCGGGAUGUAAAGCUCUAUCAGCAGGGAAGAUAAUGACGGUACCUGGAGAAGAAGCACCGGCUAACUACGUG